Molecule: unclassified non-coding RNA, 181 nt
Filed under: uncultured fungus
Lineage: Eukaryota; Fungi
Description: partial contains 18S rRNA, ITS1, 5.8S rRNA, ITS2 and 28S rRNA
Source: RNAcentral
AGGGAUCAUUUGCGAAUGCUUGGCCAGCCAUGUUGCUGGAACUUGCUCAGCUCCCAAAACCUUGUGGGUUGAAGUCUGGUGGUUUGGCGCCCUUCGGGGCGCCACUUUCAUGCCAAAAAUGGAAUGUCGUCUGACGUUGAACUUUGAAUCAAAACUUUCAACACUGGAUCCCUUGGCUCUU